UACGGAGGGUGCAAGCGUUAUCCGGAUUUACUGGGUUUAAAGGGUGCGUAGGCGGAUUGGUAAGUCCGUGGUGAAAUCUCUAAGCUUAACUUGGAAACUGCCAUGGAUACUAUUAGUCUUGAAUAUUGUGGAGGUUAGCGGAAUAUGUCAUGUAGCGGUGAAAUGCAUAGAUAUGACAUAGAACACCAAUUGCGAAGGCAGCUGGCUACACAAAUAUUGACGCUGAUGCACGAAAGCGUGGGGAUCAAACAGG
This 253-nucleotide ribosomal RNA is filed under the name uncultured bacterium. Its description in RNAcentral is "partial 16S ribosomal RNA". It matches the Rfam family "Bacterial small subunit ribosomal RNA", at positions 524 to 776 of the family's 1533-position model. The record is from RNAcentral.